This 386-nucleotide ribosomal RNA is filed under the name uncultured bacterium. RNAcentral's name for it is "bacterial SSU rRNA". It matches the Rfam family "Bacterial small subunit ribosomal RNA", at positions 28 to 416 of the family's 1533-position model. The record is from RNAcentral.
GACGAACGCUGGCGGCGUGCUUAACACAUGCAAGUCGAGCGGUAAGGCCCUUUCGGGGGUACACGAGCGGCGAACGGGUGAGUAACACGUGGGUGACCUGCCCUCAGCUCUGGGAUAAGCCCGGGAAACUGGGUCUAAUACUGGAUAUGACUCCAUGACGCAUGUUGUGGGGUGGAAAGCCUUGUGCGGCUGGGGAUGGGCCCGCGGCCUAUCAGCUUGUUGGUGGGGUGAUGGCCUACCAAGGCGACGACGGUAGCCGGCCUGAGAGGGCGACCGGCCACACUGGGACUGAGACACGGCCCAGACUCCUACGGGAGGCAGCAGUGGGGAAUCUUGCGCAAUGGGCGAAAGCCUGACGCAGCGACGCCGCGUGAGGGAUGACGGCC